Molecule: ribosomal RNA, 253 nt
Filed under: uncultured bacterium
Lineage: Bacteria
Description: partial 16S ribosomal RNA
Rfam family: Bacterial small subunit ribosomal RNA
Source: RNAcentral
UACAGAGGUCUCGAGCGUUAGGCGGAAUCACUGGGCUUAAAGCGUGUGUAGGCGGAUCGGUAAGUACCUUGUGAAAUCCCACAGCUUAACUGUGGAACUGCUUGGUAUACUGCCGGUCUUGAGCCAGCUAGGGGCUACCGGAACAAAUGGUGGAGCGGUGAAAUGCGUAGAUAUCAGGAGGAACACCGGUGGCGAAGGCGGGUCUCUGGGCCGAUACUGACGCUGAGGAGCGAAAGCGUGGGGAGCGAACAGG